AUUGAACGCUGGCGACAUGCCUUACACAUGCAAGUCGAACGGCAGCACGGGUGCUUGCACCUGGUGGCGAGUGGCGAACGGGUGAGUAAUACAUCGGAACAUGUCCUGUAGUGGGGGAUAGCCCGGCGAAAGCCGGAUUAAUACCGCAUACGAUCUACGGAUGAAAGCGGGGGACCUUCGGGCCUCGCGCUAUAGGGUUGGCCGAUGGCUGAUUAGCUAGUUGGUGGGGUAAAGGCCUACCAAGGCGACGAUCAGUAGCUGGUCUGAGAGGACGACCAGCCACACUGGGACUGAGACACGGCCCAGACUCCUACGGGAGGCAGCAGUGGGGAAUUUUGGACAAUGGGCGAAAGCCUGAUCCAGCAAUGCCGCGUGUGUGAAGAAGGCCUUCGGGUUGUAAAGCACUUUUGUCCGGAAAGAAAUCCUUGGCCCUAAUACGGUCGGGGGAUGACGGUACCGGAAGAAUAAGCACCGGCUAACUACGUG
Molecule: ribosomal RNA, 486 nt
Filed under: uncultured bacterium
Lineage: Bacteria
Description: partial 16S ribosomal RNA
Rfam family: Bacterial small subunit ribosomal RNA
Source: RNAcentral